This 253-nucleotide ribosomal RNA is filed under the name uncultured bacterium. Its description in RNAcentral is "partial 16S ribosomal RNA". It matches the Rfam family "Bacterial small subunit ribosomal RNA", at positions 524 to 776 of the family's 1533-position model. The record is from RNAcentral.
UACAGAGGGGGCCAGCGUUAUUCGGAAUUACUGGGCGUAAAGGGCGCGUAGGCGGCCCGCUAAGUCGAACGUGAAAUCCCCGGGCUCAACCCGGGAACUGCGUCCGAUACUGGCAGGCUUGAAUCCGGGAGAGGGAUGUGGAAUUCCAGGUGUAGCGGUGAAAUGCGUAGAUAUCUGGAGGAACACCGGUGGCGAAGGCGGCAUCCUGGACCGGUAUUGACGCUGAGGCGCGAAAGCCAGGGGAGCAAACGGG